AUUGAACGCUGGCGGCAGGCCUAACACAUGCAAGUCGACCUUAGUGGCGAACGGGUGAGUAACACGUGGGUAACCUGCCCAUCAGAAGGGGAUAACACUUGGAAACAGGUGCUAAUACCGUAUACUGAUGGAUGGACCCCCGGUGCAUUAGCUAGUUGGUGAGGGAACGGCUCACCAAGGCCACGAUGCAUAGCCGACCUGAGAGGGUAAUCGGCCACAGUGGGACUGAGACACGGUCCAGACUCCUACGGGAGGCAGCAGUGGGGAAUAUUGGACAAUGGGCGAAAGCCUGAUCCAGCCAUGCCGCGUGGGUGAAGAAGGUCUUAGGAUUGUAAAGCACUUUAAGUUGGGAGGCGUUACCAACAGAAUAAGCACCGGCUAACUUCGUGCCAGCAGCCGCGGUAAUAC
RNAcentral lists this ribosomal RNA (408 nucleotides) under uncultured bacterium. RNAcentral's name for it is "partial 16S ribosomal RNA". It matches the Rfam family "Bacterial small subunit ribosomal RNA", at positions 30 to 526 of the family's 1533-position model. The record is from RNAcentral.